RNAcentral lists this ribosomal RNA (228 nucleotides) under uncultured bacterium. Its description in RNAcentral is "partial 16S ribosomal RNA". It matches the Rfam family "Bacterial small subunit ribosomal RNA", at positions 103 to 334 of the family's 1533-position model. The record is from RNAcentral.
CGGGUGAGUAAUGUAUGGGGAUCUGCCUGAUGGCGGGGGAUAACUACUGGAAACGGUAGCUAAUACCGCAUAAUGCCUACGGACCAAAGCGGGGGACCUCCGGGCCUCGCGCCAUCAGAUGAACCCAUAUGGGAUUAGCUAGUAGGUGAGGUAACGGCUUACCUAGGCGACGAUCCCUAGCUGGUCUGAGAGGAUGAUCAGCCACACUGGGACUGAGACACGGCCCAG